This 3862-nucleotide long non-coding RNA is filed under the name Setaria viridis. RNAcentral describes it as "long non-coding RNA (SVIR_LNC011047)". The record is from RNAcentral. Lineage: Eukaryota; Viridiplantae; Streptophyta; Magnoliopsida; Poales; Poaceae.
AGAACUUGUAAGGGCUUGUUUUAAACAAGUUGAGUUAGAGAGAAUUACAAAAGACACAUCAUAGUAGUUGACAGGAGUAUACAUAUUAUUUUUGUGUUUCCUGUUUUCUACUAAUCAUGGCAGGUUAUACGAAGAUCGUUGAGCUGUUGAAACUAGACCCUCAUAUUCAGGAUGUCAUUCAACACUUGCCGUUAUAUGAUGGUAAGUUUGAUCCUAAAGCUUACAUUGAUUGGGAGAUAAAAGUAGAUAAUGAAUUUGAUGAGCAUGACCUGUCCGAGAAACAAAAGAUUUAUAUUGCCUCUAAUGUUUUGACUGAAUAUGCUUUGCUUGAAUGGAAACGCAUUUGUAGGCACAACAAAGUUCUAGAAUCUUGGGAAGACUUCAAAUUUCUUUUUAGAGAUGCAUUCAUUCCUGAAUAUUAUGCUAAUUAUUUGCUUGCAAAAUUAGACAACUUGAGGCAAGGUAGUAGGACUGUGAAAGAAUACUUCCAUGAUUUUAAAAUUUGUAUCAUGUAUGGUGGAUUAGAUGAGUGCAUGGAAGAUGUUAUGUGUAGGUUCAUGAGAGGGCUCAAUUCUGAAAUUCAAACCUUGUUGCUAAGCAAAUCAUACAUACAUAUUGGUCAAUUAUUUUGCCUUGCUCUCAAUGUUGAAAAGGAGAUUCUAUUAUCUGUGAAUACUUGCAAGAAUGAUGUGACCCAUUAUAUCCAAAAUUUGUCCACUCUCCAUGCUAAUGAAGAGCAACAAAUAGUGGAACCCAUUGCUGAUUUUCCUUUGUCACAAAAUGAAUUACUUGCUGUUCCUUGUGAUAAAGAGGACUUGUGUGCUGAUGAUUCUUUUACUCCUAUACCACAAGUAGUGAAUAAGUGUGAUACUUUUGGUUUGGAAUCAUACAAAUGUGCUGAAGAUAAGCUUUUUCAUCCUAUUACUUGUGCACAAGAUGAACUGAAUUUGCUAUCCUCUUUAAAUACUUUGGGUUACAUUGAAUUUGAUGUUUUGUGUAAUCUAAAUUGUCUAAAAGAGAAACUUCAAUUUGGUUCUGGUUUGCCAAGUUUUAAUCAUUGUUCGCUUCAUGCAAUUGGCAAAUAUGAUAGCAAAGGAGAAUAUUUGGUGCAUAAAGUUUAUGUUUGCUCCACUCUAAAAUAUCCUUUUGGGCUACAAUACCAUGAUCAAAUAGAGGGCUGCACUAACACUAAUAAUGUCUUGCAAAGUUUUUCUAGUUUUUCCCAUAUGCAACAGGGUAAGACCAAAGAAGGGGAGCAUUACUGGUUGUGGCCAUGCAGCAUGGCCGUCGCUCCGUGCUCCAACAUCAAAACAAGCACCUUAGAAUGCCACUGGAGCAAGUCGAGGACGACUUGCAGCCAAGAAGGGGAGAAUGAUGAGGACAUCACAUGCUCGGAUACAACCAUAUUGGCAUCUUUUGACUCUAAGGUGAAACAAUUCUUUAUCAUAAUUAUAUGUGAUACAUUUGAUGAAUUGAUGCUGCACCAUGAUGUGUAUUCGUUGUCAAUUUCAGAAAUAGAUACAUGGAUCAAAAAUAGUGUUAAACACACAUGGAAGGCAUGGAGGAACAAAGAAGUAGAUUGGGGGCCAAGUCCAAGUAUUCCUAACGUCCUCCACCAGGCCACCACGUCACUUUUGGCCCAAGGAAAGAAAGAUAUCCAAUCCAACACGUUUUGGUGCUGGAUUCGGACUACAGUUCUGGCCCAACUUGCAACGACCGCCACGACCUCAUCCGGACUCCGUUUUGGGCGUUCAAGUACUCCAUGGAAUCCUUAUGAAGUCUAUUUUCAUAUGGAUCCGGAAUCAUGUCCAUAUCUAUUCUGAAGCGGCCGCAAUCAUCGAAAUACUACCGAGAGGUUUUCUGUCCACAAGUGUUGCGUCGCCCUAUUUUGGCCCGAUGGGCCGUGUAUCAAGUUGGGUCCAUUAGGGACGUGUCCUAGGGUUGGAGCACGACCCCAACACCCCCCUGGUCGUCCUCCUAGGUAUUAAUAAGGAUUAGAGCCGCCACGAACAGAUUGGGUUUUGUUUUGUUGAAAGUUUAGCCAUUGCUACUUCCUUGUAGACGCGUGUGUCGACUAGACCAUCCGUUCUACUCGAUUCAGAACCCCAACUUUGUGUUUUCAGAUUGGUUUCCAUCUCUAUAUUUGCAAUUGAGUUGCUUGUUAUACUUGUUCUUGCUUGUUCUUCGAUUGCUUGCAGGACGAGUGCCCUAGUGGCCGGGUGACGCGCUCCACAAGAUCGCGGCAGCCAUUGGAGGUGGUGUAUCGGUUGCUAAGGCGCAGCUUGGAAGGCUGUAGUCGGGCCGUGAACGUCGUCUCCAUCCACCAAUCGAGUUAUCCACGCCUCUCAUCGAAAGAUCGGGAAUCAACCCUAGCGGGUUCAUAUCAGUUGGUAAUCAAAGCAAGGUUUAUCGGUGAGAGACUUCUAGUUCGUUGCUGUUUUUAAUUUCCUAUAGUCCAGAAAAAACCAAAAAAUUAGUAGAUUAGUUUACUCGCAAUCCUAUAAACCCUUUGAGCCUUUGCUAGGACUGCUUAGUUAGGGCUUGUUGAGUUUUUGGUUGCAUCAGUUGUGUCGAGUUGCUGGUCUUAGUGUCUAUUCCUUUAGAGUUUUGAGUUCUAUCACGUUUUGGUCACCACGAGAUCCACCAUCACCAUAUACAUCAUUGCUUCGUUUCUACCACCACGGUUUCAUAUGAUGUCCGAUUUGGGAGUUUAAAUACAAUCUGGAAACUUGAAGUUGUCUUCUUUCCAACGGAUCUGACCUUGCAGCAAUAUUCGGUCUGAGCGCUCCACAAUCGUCUUAGAGAUUUUCGCAUCUGCUGUAUUAACAAGAGUUGUUAAAUUUAAAAUUUGAAGGGGCUGUGUGCAAUAGCCUUAUUGUUUGGGUUGUCAUAGUACCCAAUAAAAGAUUUAGGCCUCUGCAAAAAAAAAGAAACAAAAAAACAAGAGGAAGAAAAAAAAAGAAGAAGAAGAAAAAAAAAGACAAGACAAGGAGAAGAAAGAAGGGGCUGAAUCUGUUGUUUUCUUUGUGCUGUGCUGCUCUUUUCAGUGACUACCUUUGUGCCUAGGCUCACGUCUCUAGCAUGGUUUAGCCUAGGACCAGCACAGUACCGCCGUUGAAUGAUUACUCAACUUGCUUUUGUGACUAAUGUGGUGCUAGUAUAUUUCCUUGCUUAAGCCCACCUACAGCUCCACAUAUUCGACUCCAGCUUGACAGGUAUUUGUUGCUACGGCACCGAUACACUUCACUCCAUGGUUGUAGACUUGUUGGUUGCCGUCACCUCCUGUUUGGCUUGGUAAGAACUUGUAAGGGCUUGUUUUAAACAAGUUGAGUUAGAGAGAAUUACAAAAGACACAUCAUAGUAGUUGACAGGAGUAUACAUAUUAUUUUUGUGUUUCCUGUUUUCUACUAAUCAUGGCAGGUUAUACGAAGAUCGUUGAGCUGUUGAAACUAGACCCUCAUAUUCAGGAUGUCAUUCAACACUUGCCGUUAUAUGAUGGUAAGUUUGAUCCUAAAGCUUACAUUGAUUGGGAGAUAAAAGUAGAUAAUGAAUUUGAUGAGCAUGACCUGUCCGAGAAACAAAAGAUUUAUAUUGCCUCUAAUGUUUUGACUGAAUAUGCUUUGCUUGAAUGGAAACGCAUUUGUAGGCACAACAAAGUUCUAGAAUCUUGGGAAGACUUCAAAUUUCUUUUUAGAGAUGCAUUCAUUCCUGAAUAUUAUGCUAAUUAUUUGCUUGCAAAAUUAGACAACUUGAGGCAAGGUAGUAGGACUGUGAAAGAAUACUUCCAUGAUUUUAAAAUUUGUAUCAUGUAUGGUGGAUUAGAUGAGUGCAUGGAAGAUGUUAUGUGUAGGUUCAUGAGAGG